RNAcentral lists this ribosomal RNA (255 nucleotides) under uncultured bacterium. RNAcentral's name for it is "partial 16S ribosomal RNA". It matches the Rfam family "Bacterial small subunit ribosomal RNA", at positions 524 to 776 of the family's 1533-position model. The record is from RNAcentral.
UACGUAGGGGGCAAGCGUUGUCCGGAUUUAUUGGGCGUAAAGAGCGUGUAGGCGGCCAGAUAGGUCCGUUGUGAAAACUCGAGGCUCAACCUCGAGACGCCGAUGGAAACCAUUUGGCUAGAGUCCGGAAGAGGAGAGUGGAAUUCCUGGUGUAGCGGUGAAAUGCGCAGAUAUCAGGAAGAACACCCGUGGCUAAGGCGGCUCUCUAGUACGGUACUGACGCUGAGACGCGAAAAGCGUGGGGGAGCGAACAGG